GUGCCAGCAGCCGCGGUAAUACGUAGGUGGCGAGCGUUGUCCGGAAUUAUUGGGCGUAAAGAGCGUGUAGGUGGGAUAGUCAGUCUCAUUUAAAAGAUCGGGGCUCAACCCCGUUAAGGGUGAGAAACAGCUAUUCUUGAGUGCAGGAGAGGAAAGCGGAAUUCCCAGUGUAGCGGUGAAAUGCGUAGAUAUUGGGAGGAACACCAGUGGCGAAGGCGGCUUUCUGGACUGUGUCUGACACUGAGGCGCGAAAGCUAGGGGAGCGAACGGGAUUAGAUACCCCGGUAGUCC
RNAcentral lists this ribosomal RNA (291 nucleotides) under uncultured bacterium. RNAcentral's name for it is "partial 16S ribosomal RNA". It matches the Rfam family "Bacterial small subunit ribosomal RNA", at positions 505 to 796 of the family's 1533-position model. The record is from RNAcentral.